Pocillopora verrucosa is the source of this 684-nucleotide non-coding RNA. NCBI's taxonomy places the organism in Eukaryota, Metazoa, Cnidaria, Anthozoa, Scleractinia, Pocilloporidae. The record is from RefSeq and is a predicted model, not a curated record.
UGGCGGCCUGUUUUGAAAAAAUUAGGGGAAAAUUUAUUAUCGGUUAGUAUCUGUGGGCCGUGAAAAAGGGAACGAAAAUGGCCUUCAGCUUCUCUUGACUUUGAGAGCAAGUGUUUUUUCGCUUUGGAUACAUUUACUAUGAAGAAGAAAUCAUGGUUACAGGAUGUUACAAUUAGACAAGGAAUGGCGAAAGGCGCACGUGAACUCAUCUCUUGUUGGGAAGUUUGCUUGUAAGCAGCUUGUUCGAGCACUGUGCCUGUAAGCAAGAAUGUGAAGAUUAUUUCUAUUCAAACAUCUUGGCUCUCAGUGGAUCUGUGGACCCUGAUCUAAUUUAUAUGGUGCCAAUGUUAAGUAUUUUAGAAAGCAAGAAUGCGAAUAUCGCUUGUAUUCAAUCUUCAGCGGACAAGGGGACCCUGAUGGACUUCGUGUGAUGCUAAUGGUUCCGAUCAGUUUGAAGCUUCAACAUCCUCCACGGCAACCCACGGGCACUUGACUGUUGUCCAUGUUCCGGAUGUGGGGAAUUCGAACCUUGCCUGGGUAAAACCUAUUACUUAGUUGGAGAGCUGGUCAGAAAGGAUGCUGGUACCGACUUGCAAGUUACUGUGAUGAUUUCUUUCAACAUCCGAAAUAUUCGGUACGGCGGAGAUUACAAGUUUAAAAAGAAUGUCCAGGGAGAUAAGUGGU